Molecule: ribosomal RNA, 436 nt
Filed under: uncultured Ascomycota
Lineage: Eukaryota; Fungi; Ascomycota
Description: SSU rRNA
Rfam family: Eukaryotic small subunit ribosomal RNA
Source: RNAcentral
UUCGAUGGUAGGAUAGAGGCCUACCAUGGUAUCAACGGGUAACGGGGAAUUAGGGUUCGACUCCGGAGAGGGAGCCUGAGAAACGGCUACCACAUCCAAGGAAGGCAGCAGGCGCGCAAAUUACCCAAUCCCGACACGGGGAGGUAGUGACAAUAAAUACUGAUACAGGGCUCUUUUGGGUCUUGUAAUUGGAAUGAGUACAAUUUAAAUCCCUUAACGAGGAACAAUUGGAGGGCAAGUCUGGUGCCAGCAGCCGCGGUAAUUCCAGCUCCAAUAGCGUAUAUUAAAGUUGUUGCAGUUAAACAGCUCGUAGUUGAACCUUGGGCCUGGCUGGCCGGUCCGCCUCACCGCGUGUACUGGUCCGGCCGGGCCUUUCCUUCUGGGGAACCUCAUGCCCUUCACUGGGCGUGUUGGGGAACCAGGACUUUUACUUUGA